Molecule: RNA transcript, 4320 nt
Organism: Haplochromis burtoni (Burton's mouthbrooder)
Lineage: Eukaryota; Metazoa; Chordata; Actinopteri; Cichliformes; Cichlidae
Gene: foxo3a
Gene name: forkhead box O3A
Exons: 3
Source: RefSeq, a predicted model, not a curated record
UUUUACCGUUAAUUUUUGCGCACUGGAUACUCUCCGAUGGGGACAUUAGAGGUGAUGUCAUUGGCGAGCGGACAUCUCUACACUGUCGCUUUAAUUUCAGUGCAGUCCAGGGGGCAGGAUCGCUUUUUUCCUUUUUUAACCCUCUUCUCCUGGGCUCUGAGCGUUUGCGCCAACCGCAGCAGCAGAUUGAAUGAAGUGUUUGCAGGCAGCUGGGCACACGGAGGACACCGUGCUACUUCGUCCGGGAUGCUAGACUACAGCCAGCAUCAUUAUUUUUCAGCUCUUAACUGGGCGGAUUUUUAGGCUCGGUGCAUUUUCCCAGCAGCCACAUUUUUAAGAAGGUGCAGGCCCUUAAGAAACCGUCCCCUAAUCGCCUUGAUGGUAUCUGGACUGCAGCGCUCAAGCGACUGGCAGCUCCACAGCACGGCUGAUUAAGAACUUGGGGAAGUGAAAUGGUCAAGAUGGCAGCUGUGUGGAGUGAUGAAACUGAUGUGGUGGCAUUAGAUGCAGCGUGCGUGUACAUUUAAGAUUUUUCCCUUUGUCAUGCAGGAUCGCCGUGCGGGACGCGGACGCUUGUGAAGGAACGCAGUUUUGGAUUCCUCCGAGGCUCCGCGUACGCUUCACGUCUUUUCACUCCACAGUUCACGAAAUUGCAAUGCAUGUUGGCCAGGGUGUGGGCUUAGCACGACAAAAGGCGAUGUUCUGGUGAUUGUGGUGAGCUCCAGCUGCUCCGUGUGUUGCGGACGGACGCCGUGCAGGAGGACUGAUAGACUGACACGUGCUGGGACCGAGCUUCAGGAAGGGACACUUGCAUAGUAAAUAAACUGUCCACGAAGCCUGCACGCGACAUUGAUGGAAUGCGACCCGAGUGAUUUUAUAACCCUUUGUGCAACCCCCGACAAAUUACGACCAACAUGGCUGAGGCGUCGCGCAACGGCAACGAGCCGCCUCUAAACGUUGAGAUAGAUCCGGAUUUCGAGCCCCAGAAGCGGCCACGGUCCUGCACUUGGCCCCUGCCCCGUCCGGAAUCUGGUGCGGGCAAGCCCGGGGCAAAUGACACUGACGUAAUCCCCGAAGAGGAGGAUGAUGAGGGUGGGAGCACGGGGAGCGGCGCUGCUCAGAAAGCCAGCGGCGGCGCUAUUAAAACCCGAGAGCCGAGCAGCAGCAGCUCCAUCUCCCAGCCGGUGGAGGUCCAGCGGGGCCCAUCCAAAGAGGAGACCGCCGACGGCUCGCCGUCCUCGGCGCAAACCCCCGCAGCAGCUCCGAGCGGUUCUGCCACCCAGCAGCUGAGGAAGUCCUCCGCCCGCAGGAAUGCCUGGGGCAACUACUCCUAUGCAGACCUCAUUACCCAAGCCAUCGAGAGCUCCCCUGAGAAAAGGUUGACCUUGUCCCAAAUCUAUGAGUGGAUGGUGAGAUCCGUGCCAUAUUUCAAGGACAAAGGCGAUAGCAACAGCUCUGCUGGCUGGAAGAAUUCCAUCCGACACAAUCUUUCCCUCCAUAGCCGUUUUGUGAAAGUCCAGAAUGAAGGAACUGGGAAAAGCUCCUGGUGGAUGGUCAACCCAGAAGGUGGGAAAGGAGGUAAAGCUCCCAGGCGUAGGGCUGUGUCGAUGGAUAACAGCAAGUACAUCAAAGGAGCCAGAGGACGUGCCACAAAGAAAAAAGCCUCAUUGCAGGUUGCUCAAGAUGGGAGCUCUGAGAGCUCCUCGAGCCUCUCCAAAUGGACAGGAAGUCCCACCUCCCGCAGCAGCGACGAGCUCGAUGCCUGGACAGACUUCCGCUCUCGGACAAAUUCCAACGCCAGCACGCUCAGCGGUCGUCUGUCCCCAAUCCUGGCUAACCUGGAGCUGGAUGAGGUACCUGAUGACGACUCACCCCUGUCGCCAAUGCUGUACUCCAGCCCCAGCAGCAUGUCUCCGUCCACUGGACCAACAGGACUGUCUGAUCUGGCAGGCACUAUGAACCUCAAUGACGGGCUCUCUGACAACCUGAUGGAUGAUCUUUUAGACAAUAUCAGCCUCACAGCAUCCCAGCAGCCUCCUCCUGGAGAGGAAGAUGGGGCCAACAGUCAGGGGAGUUCAGUAUUUACCUUCAGCUGCUCAGGAAGCAGUUUAGGUAGUCCCUCUAGCAGCUAUGGGACGAACCCACUCUUCAGCCCUCCGUCCAUCACGAGCCUGCGACAGUCACCCAUGCAGACCAUCCAAGAGAACAAGCAGACCACUUUCUCCUGCAUGUCUCACUACAGUGAGCACCAGGCCCUAGAUCUGCUUGGGAUGGACUCCCACAGCCCCAGCAAUGUCAUGAUGACCCAGUCCGACCCUCUGAUGUCGCAGGCCAGCACCGCCAUCGCGUUGCAGAACUCCCGCCGAAAUGCCAUGCUGCUCCGCAAAGACCACAUUCUGGUUAACCACACCAGUGCAGGCCAGGCCCAAAGCUCUUCAGUGCCUGGUUGGCAAGCGGGCUUGUCAACCUCUGACAGUGACGACGGCUUCCCUGAAACAAAGCAGCUACACCUGAAGUCUCCUAGUAAGAACGCCUCUAUGCAGCUCAGUUCCAGUUUAACCAGUCAGGACCGUUUCUCCGCUGAUCUGGACCUUGAGGUGUUCAGCAGCAAUCUGGACUGCGACAUGGACUCAAUCAUCCGCAAUGAACUGAUGGACGCAGAUUGCCUGGACCUCAGCUUUGACUCUCGCCUCACCUCCACACAGAACAGCAACAAGAAUUCAGGAAGCUUCUCCAGCUCGAAACAGAGCCCUCAGAGCUGGGUGCCGAGCUGAGGAGCUGUCAGAAGUAAAGAAGGUGUAAAUUUGGGUUAAUUGUCCUGCGUUGUGCAACUAGAGGGAAGGAAGGUGUCUGAGACAAAACAACAGUGUCUUCACAGUGAAGGAAAAAAAUAAUUGUUUCAAAAGAUCAAUGCCUGGCCAGUAUGAACAAACGGUACUGAGUGGAAUGAAACUACAGUACCUUCAGUUAAAACUACAUGGAUCAACUCGUAUCAGUCUCAGGGAUUCACUCAUAUCACAAAGUAAUACAUAAAACUGAAAAUGAAGUGUUUUCAUUCUGCUUUCUCUCCUCUUUCACACCCUUUCAUACCCAAAACAUUUUUUGCCAAACCAGCUGUCAGCCUGACUGAUGGCCUGUUUACAAAAACUGCAGAGAAUGUUACAUUACUACGUUCCAGUGGAGGAUACUUGACAAGCUGCUUUUUUUUUUUUUUCCCUUUGUUUUUUAAAGAUUUCUUUGAGACGUAGCCUAAAUGGACAAACAGUUUUUUAAAAGCUUUCCCUCCCCAUUGAUGCACCAAUUCACACCAAAUAUCAGUAUGUAAUGCUAUCAAGAUGUGAACUGCUCUACAUGAUGUGUUUUUUGUAUGCAGUGUUUUUUCAAUUUUUAUUUUUUGUAGCAAAUUUUACCCUGUGAUUUUUAAGUGACAUUACUGUGAAUUCUGUUCCCUCUGAAGAGGUCCAUUACUGAAGUAUUGAUGAUGUUUCUGCUGCAGAUCCCUUUUUAGGUCCCUCCUCUUCCACUCACUGCACUGUUGGAAGUACUGCUCUGUAUACAGACCUUAGGACUGAGUUAAGGACACGAUUUAGUUCUAGUUACCACUUUUUAGUUGUCAAACACUUAGUGACUCGCAGCGCUCGACAACUACACCAGUUUUGGCGUUGAUUUGAUGGAGUUCUUGGUGCUCUAAAUCUAAAGAUAGCAGGGAGUGGCUGCAGAUGAAGCACCGUCAGUAGCCUCUCCUUUGUUAUCAGCACUAUAGCAGGUGCUGGGUGACAUGUUUUCAACACUGGGAGGGUGUGUAGUAUCUUGGUGUUUUUUCUUUUUUCUUUGUAAUGAAAGAAAUGACCACAGUAUCUUAAAUAUUGCCAAAGUUUAUCUGCAUUUAAAUAAGUGGAAAGAGGCUACACAGUGCAUAGCUAAUCAGAAGUGUGUGAUAUAAGGGCAAAAUCUACAUCAGCACAAUUUUGUAGGAACAGCAGGAUGCUUUUUAAAAUUGUUUACAUUUUUAAUUUUUUUUUUUUUUAAAUUAUCAGGAGUGUUUUAGUAAACUUGUCUCAUGUUGCAUCAUUGUAAAAACAAAUUUGGUUUAUUUAUUGCGAUACUUGUUUGCAUUGUUCCUCGAUGCACAUUUGGUUAGGGCUGUGUAAAAUCAUGUUUUCAUUGCUCUGUUCACUGGGUGAUCACUUGCACAACAAAUGAAAGGGUCCUUUUGAGAAAUGUUUAACAGCGUGUUAACCAGAUUAAAUAAUUCUCAUUGGCUUAACCUUUUAAUAAAUUUCUGCACAGCUGUGCUUCCACUUUUUUUUUUUUUUUUUU